Non-coding RNA from Podarcis lilfordi (Lilford's wall lizard), 76 nucleotides. The record is from the annotation of a GenBank genome assembly. Lineage: Eukaryota; Metazoa; Chordata; Lepidosauria; Squamata; Lacertidae.
GCCUGGCAGAUAGCUCAGUUGGUACAGCAUGAGACUCUUAAUCUCAGAGUCAUAGGUUCGAGUCCCACAUUGGGCA